This 497-nucleotide ribosomal RNA is filed under the name uncultured bacterium. RNAcentral's name for it is "partial 16S ribosomal RNA". It matches the Rfam family "Bacterial small subunit ribosomal RNA", at positions 28 to 507 of the family's 1533-position model. The record is from RNAcentral.
GAUGAACGCUGGCGGCGUGCCUAAUACAUGCAAGUCGAGCGAACAGAUGAGGAGCUUGCUCCUCUGACGUUAGCGGCGGACGGGUGAGUAACACGUGGAUAACCUACCUAUAAGACUUGGAUAACUUCGGGAAACCGGAGCUAAUACCGGAUAAUAUAUUGAACCGCAUGGUUCAAUAGUGAAAGACGGUUUUGCUGUCACUUAUAGAUGGAUCCACGCCGCAUUAGCUAGUUGGUAAGGUAACGGCUUACCAAGGCGACGAUGCGUAUCCGACCUGAGAGGGUGAGCGGACACACUGGAACUGAGACACGGUCCAGACUCCUACGGGAGGCAGCAGUAGGGAAUCUUCCGCAAUGGGCGAAAGCCUGACGGAGCAACGCCGCGUGAGUGAUGAAGGUCUUCGGAUCGUAAAACUCUAUUAUUAGGGAAGAACAAAUGUGUAAGUAACUAUGCACGUAUUGACGGUACCUAAUCAGAAAGCCACGGCUAACUACGUG